RNAcentral lists this ribosomal RNA (253 nucleotides) under uncultured bacterium. Its description in RNAcentral is "partial 16S ribosomal RNA". It matches the Rfam family "Bacterial small subunit ribosomal RNA", at positions 524 to 776 of the family's 1533-position model. The record is from RNAcentral.
UACGUAGGGGGCAAGCGUUGUCCGGAAUUAUUGGGCGUAAAGAGCUCGUAGGCGGCCAGUUGCGUCUGCUGUGAAAUCCCGGGGCUCAACCCCGGGCGUGCAGUGGAUACGGGCUGGCUAGAGGCAGGCAGGGGAGAACGGAAUUCCCGGUGUAGCGGUGAAAUGCGCAGAUAUCGGGAGGAACACCGGUGGCGAAGGCGGUUCUCUGGGCCUGUACUGACGCUGAGGAGCGAAAGCGUGGGGAGCGAACAGG